RNAcentral lists this long non-coding RNA (352 nucleotides) under Mus musculus (house mouse). RNAcentral describes it as "long non-coding RNA chr7:75784031-75784383". The record is from RNAcentral. Lineage: Eukaryota; Metazoa; Chordata; Mammalia; Rodentia; Muridae.
AGCAAAGAAGGGUGGCAAGAUGAAGGGCAGUUCUGCCAUCAACGAGAUGGUGACCCAAGAAUACACCAUCAAUGUUCACAUGCACAUCCAUGGAGUAGGCUUCAAGUAGUGUGCUCUUAGGGCACUCAAAGACCAUGAAGGAAUGGGGAACUCCAGAUGUGCCCAUUGACACCAGGCUCAAUAAAGCCUUCUGGGCUGAGGGAAUAAGGAAUGUUCCUUAUUGCAUCCGAGUACAUUUGUCCAGAAAACAUAAUGGGGAUGAGGAGUCACCAAACAAGCUCUACACAUUGGUAACUUACUCUUACGUGCCUGUUCCACAUUCAAAGAUCUACAGUCAAUGUGGGUGAGAACU